Molecule: unclassified non-coding RNA, 253 nt
Filed under: uncultured Anaerolineae bacterium
Lineage: Bacteria; Bacillati; Chloroflexota; Anaerolineae
Description: contains 16S-23S intergenic spacer region
Rfam family: Bacterial small subunit ribosomal RNA
Source: RNAcentral
UACGUAGGUGGCGAACGUUAUCCGGAAUUACUGGGCGUAAAGGGUCCGUAGGCGGGUUCCUAAGUCUGACGUGAAAGCUCCCGGCUCAACUGGGAGAGUGCGUUGGAAACUGGGAGUCUUGAAUGUCACAGAGGUCGGUGGAAUUCCCGGUGUAGUGGUGGAAUGCGUAGAGAUCGGGAGGAACCUCGAAAGCGAAGGCAACCGGCUGGGUGAACAUUGACGCUGAGGGACGAAAGCGUGGGGAGCGAACAGG